RNAcentral lists this ribosomal RNA (253 nucleotides) under uncultured bacterium. RNAcentral describes it as "partial 16S ribosomal RNA". It matches the Rfam family "Bacterial small subunit ribosomal RNA", at positions 524 to 776 of the family's 1533-position model. The record is from RNAcentral.
UACAGAGGGUGCAAGCGUUAUUCGGAAUUACUGGGCGUAAAGGGUUCGUAGGCGGCCAACUAAGUCAAACGUGAAAUCCCUCGGCUUAACCGGGGAACUGCGCUUGAUACUGGAUGGCUUGAGAUUGGGAGAGGGAUGCGGAAUUCCAGGUGUAGCGGUGAAAUGCGUAGAUAUCUGGAGGAACACCGGUGGCGAAGGCGGCAUCCUGGACCAACACUGACGCUGAGGAGCGAAAGCCAGGGGAGCAAACGGG